GAGCAAGCGUUGUUCGGAUUUACUGGGCGUAAAGCGUGCGCAGGCGGUUUUGUAAGUCCGAUGUGAAAUCCCCGGGCUUAACCUGGGAACUGCGUUUGAAACUACAAGGCUAGAGUGUGGCAGAGGGGGGUGGAAUUCCACGUGUAGCAGUGAAAUGCGUAGAGAUGUGGAGGAACACCGAUGGCGAAGGCAGCCCCCUGGGUUAACACUGACGCUCAGGCACGAAAGCGUGGGGAGCAAACAGG
Molecule: ribosomal RNA, 245 nt
Filed under: uncultured bacterium
Lineage: Bacteria
Description: partial 16S ribosomal RNA
Rfam family: Bacterial small subunit ribosomal RNA
Source: RNAcentral